GGGAGUGUAAGGUUUCGACAGAUUAAGAACCAUAUUAUAAGCAAGUAGUAGCGAUACUUUAAAUCUUUUUUAAAUAAUUGGAAAAAAUUAUAGAUUAGCUGCGUAGUAACGUGGUCAUUUACUUAAAAUUUGCUAUGGAUUUUUCGUAAAUGUUAUUUACAUAGCUUGCUUUACGACGAUGGUUAUAGAAGUAAGGGACUAUUAUAACCUAAUUUAAGGACCUUUGGUAGUUUAGCAUCCUUAAAUGAAAAAGUUAAAUUACAUAAACUUGUAGAAGGUAGUAUGUAGUCUUAAUUUGGACACGAGUUCAAUUCUCGUCACUUCCACCA
RNAcentral lists this transfer-messenger RNA (329 nucleotides) under Sneathia sanguinegens. RNAcentral's name for it is "Standard tmRNA". It matches the Rfam family "transfer-messenger RNA". From Rfam's summary of the family: Bacterial tmRNA, also known as 10Sa RNA or SsrA, is named for its dual tRNA and mRNA-like properties. Its role is to liberate the mRNA from a stalled ribosome. To accomplish this part of the tmRNA is used as a reading frame that ends in a translation stop signal. The record is from RNAcentral. Lineage: Bacteria; Fusobacteriati; Fusobacteriota; Fusobacteriia; Fusobacteriales; Leptotrichiaceae.